This 486-nucleotide ribosomal RNA is filed under the name uncultured bacterium. Its description in RNAcentral is "partial 16S ribosomal RNA". It matches the Rfam family "Bacterial small subunit ribosomal RNA", at positions 30 to 507 of the family's 1533-position model. The record is from RNAcentral.
AUUGAACGCUGGCGGCAUGCCUUACACAUGCAAGUCGAACGGCAGCACGGGUGCUUGCACCUGGUGGCGAGUGGCGAACGGGUGAGUAAUACAUCGGAACAUGUCCUGUAGUGGGGGAUAGCCCGGCGAAAGCCGGAUUAAUACCGCAUACGAUCUACGGAUGAAAGCGGGGGACCUUCGGGCCUCGCGCUAUAGGGUUGGCCGAUGGCUGAUUAGCUAGAUGGUGGGGUAAAGGCCUACCAAGGCGACGAUCAGUAGCUGGUCUGAGAGGACGACCAGCCACACUGGGACUGAGACACGGCCCAGACUCCUACGGGAGGCAGCAGUGGGGAAUUUUGGACAAUGGGCGAAAGCCUGAUCCAGCAAUGCCGCGUGUGUGAAGAAAGCCUUCGGGUUGUAAAGCACUUUUGUCCGGAAAGAAAUCCUUGGCCCUAAUACGGUCGGGGGAUGACGGUACCGGAAGAAUAAGCACCGGCUAACUACGUG